AACGAACGCUGGCGGCGUGCCUAACACAUGCAAGUCGCACGAGAAAGUUCUUCGGAACGAGUAAAGUGGCGCACGGGUGAGUAAUCCAUAGGAACGUGUCUUUAGGAGGGGAAUAACAACGGGAAACCGUUGCUAAUACCGCAUAAUCAGGUAACUGCAAAGACGGCCUCUAUUUAUAAGCUGUCACCUAAAGAGCGGCCUAUGUCCCAUUAGCUAGUUGGUGGGGUAAAAGCCUACCAAGGCAACGAUGGGUAGCUGGUCUGAGAGGACGAUCAGCCACACUGGAACUGAGACACGGUCCAGACUCCUACGGGAGGCAGCAGUGGGGAAUAUUGCACAAUGGGCGCAAGCCUGAUGCAGCAACGCCGCGUGAGU
RNAcentral lists this ribosomal RNA (375 nucleotides) under uncultured bacterium. Its description in RNAcentral is "bacterial SSU rRNA". It matches the Rfam family "Bacterial small subunit ribosomal RNA", at positions 29 to 406 of the family's 1533-position model. The record is from RNAcentral.